UACGUAGGCAGCGAGCGUUGUUCGGAAUUACUGGGCGUAAAGAGUGUGUAGGUGGUGCUCUAAGUUCGGUGUGAAAUCUCCCGGCUUAACUGGGAGGGUGCGCCGAAAACUGGAGUGCUCGAGCGUGGGAGAGGAAAGCGGAAUUCCUGGUGCAGCGGUGAAAUGCGUAGAUAUCAGGAGGAACACCGGUGGCGAAGGCGGAUCUCUGGGCCUGUUCUGACGCUGAGGCGCGAAAGCUAGGGGAGCGAACAGG
RNAcentral lists this ribosomal RNA (253 nucleotides) under uncultured bacterium. RNAcentral describes it as "partial 16S ribosomal RNA". It matches the Rfam family "Bacterial small subunit ribosomal RNA", at positions 524 to 776 of the family's 1533-position model. The record is from RNAcentral.